Molecule: long non-coding RNA, 463 nt
Organism: Pezoporus flaviventris
Lineage: Eukaryota; Metazoa; Chordata; Aves; Psittaciformes; Psittacidae
Exons: 2
Source: RefSeq, a predicted model, not a curated record
AAAGCCCUGAAGGCCAGAGGGCACUGGGGCAUGAUUAUCUUUGCACUCAGCUUACUGUGUUUUGCUCCACGGUUGGAUUUCCAGCAUGUAUCUGGAAGAACAGCUCUGAACACUGCAGCCUUUAAAGACAGUGGCUAUGUUAAGCAGCCCCUAAGGUUGGAGAGAAAUGACCUUUUAAAAGGGACAAGAAACAGUCAAAAUGGACAAUGCGAAACAAUGAAGGUCAGAGGAAAGCAUUCUGCUACAUCAGCAUCUUUUUGAUGCUUUAAUGAGCAUUUUUUGAUUAUUCAUCCAAUUAUAUAAUAUCUUCAACUGAUUUGACUUGCAAAUCUAGUGCCUGUUCCUGAGUCAAAUGAGCCAGAGUACUUUGCAGUUCUUCACUUCCACAAUAUUUCAUGACUCUUACUAAAGUCAUUAUAAUAGUGGCCUUUACUGUUACAAUAAAUCCCAGGCAUCAAUUAUA